UACGUAGGGUGCAAGCGUUAAUCGGAAUUACUGGGCGUAAAGCGUGCGCAGGCGGUUAUGUAAGACAGGUGUGAAAUCCCCGGGCUUAACCUGGGAAUGGCAUUUGUGACUGCACGGCUAGAGUGUGUCAGAGGGGGGUAGAAUUCCACGUGUAGCAGUGAAAUGCGUAGAUAUGUGGAGGAAUACCGAUGGCGAAGGCAGCCCCCUGGGAUAACACUGACGCUCAUGCACGAAAGCGUGGGGAGCAAACAGG
This 253-nucleotide ribosomal RNA is filed under the name uncultured bacterium. RNAcentral describes it as "partial 16S ribosomal RNA". It matches the Rfam family "Bacterial small subunit ribosomal RNA", at positions 524 to 776 of the family's 1533-position model. The record is from RNAcentral.